GAUGAACGCUGGCGGCGUGCCUAAUACAUGCAAGUCGAGCGAACGGACGAGAAGCUUGCUUCUCUGAUGUUAGCGGCGGACGGGUGAGUAACACGUGGAUAACCUACCUAUAAGACUGGGAUAACUUCGGGAAACCGGAGCUAAUACCGGAUAAUAUUUUGAACCGCAUGGUUCAAAAGUGAAAGACGGUCUUGCUGUCACUUAUAGAUGGAUCCGCGCUGCAUUAGCUAGUUGGUAAGGUAACGGCUUACCAAGGCAACGAUGCAUAGCCGACCUGAGAGGCUGAUCGGCCACCCUGGAACUGGACCACGGUCCUGACUCCUACGGGAGGCCGCAGUAGGGAACCUUCCGCAGUGGGCGAAAGCCUGACGGAGCAACCCCGCGUGAGUGAUGAAGGUCUUCCGAUCGUAAAACUCUGUUAUUAGGGAAGAACAUAUGUGUAAGUAACUGUGCACAUCUUGACGGUACCUAAUCAGAAAGCCACGGCUAACUACGUG
Molecule: ribosomal RNA, 497 nt
Filed under: uncultured bacterium
Lineage: Bacteria
Description: partial 16S ribosomal RNA
Rfam family: Bacterial small subunit ribosomal RNA
Source: RNAcentral